UACGUAGGGUGCGAGCGUUGUCCGGAAUUAUUGGGCGUAAAGGGCUCGUAGGCGGUUUGUUGCGUCGGGGGUGAAAACCCAGGGCUUAACCCUGGGCUGGCUUCCGAUACGGGCAGACUAGAGGUAUGCAGGGGAGAACGGAAUUCCUGGUGUAGCGGUGAAAUGCGCAGAUAUCAGGAGGAACACCGGUGGCGAAGGCGGUUCUCUGGGCAUUACCUGACGCUGAGGAGCGAAAGUGUGGGGAGCGAACAGG
This 253-nucleotide ribosomal RNA is filed under the name uncultured bacterium. Its description in RNAcentral is "partial 16S ribosomal RNA". It matches the Rfam family "Bacterial small subunit ribosomal RNA", at positions 524 to 776 of the family's 1533-position model. The record is from RNAcentral.